UAUGAAUGAGUUAAUUUAUUUUUAUCCAUUUUCCCGAAAAUUUAAAAAUACAAUACUGUUUUGUUCAUACUUUAUAAAUUGUCGAAAAAGCUGUUUUAUUGUACUUCAGGAGCGAGGAUUCGAUCAAUUUUUUUUCUCUGGAUCUAGAUCUAACUUGAAACAUAAUAUCGGAUUAAUGGACCACAACAAUAGAACCAUAUUAUGCCAUAAAAUUUAAAUAGGAUUUACCUUUAAAAAUUUUGAUAACGUCAUCAAAUUGUUGGUGGGGAUCGUCAGAAAAAUUUUGGUUGACAUACACCUAAAAUUCCAAUCAGAAAUUAUGUGUUUAAUAGAACCACGAACAGCUGACAAACAGACGGAAACGGGACACCCAGUUUUUUGUACUCUUAGAGCACUUGUUCUGCUUGUAAUAAUCUAGAUCGUUUAAUUUUUGUAAAACAAAAAAUUAUUUCAAUUUUAAUUUAGAUGAUGAAAAAAUGUUUGUUAUGUACUUUAAAAUAUAAUAAUACAUAUUACACAUUGUCCUUACCUGCAUCUAUAUUUUUAGUACAGCUAAUUGAAAAAAAUAUGUCUGAUGAGAAAACAACAUUAAUAAGAAAACGCGAAAGUGAUAAAAAGGCAAGAAAAUAUGCCACGAAAUUCACUCUUAUUUCCAUUUAAACACAGUAAAAAAACGUCAUGCAGCUUUAAGGACAGAUUUUUACAAGUUAAAUUUAUUAAUUUUAAUAUACAUAUGUACAAUGUAACACUAAUCUUCAGUCUUAGCUGUGCUUUCUUGCUCGAUUUUACAGAAACUAAAUAAAUCGAGACAAAAUCAGUAUCGUAUACUUACUGGAAUGUACUUUUUUAAUAAAUAUUUAUUUAUUUAUUUACAUAUUUUUAAUUUGGCGCUAUCGCUUUUAUGGGGACAGAUGAUAGUAGAUAGUGCAACAUUAAGGAUCAAAGUACUUUUUGAUAAAUUUCAGAUAAGAAAAACAGCAAACUUCCAUUUUCAUUGUCUCUAAAAAAAAUGGAAUUCCUUAAAAUUUUAGCAUGACUAUACUGUUUGUAACUUAUUUAUUACUAACGCACGCUUUUUCAAUUGUUUUUAUUUUAACAUUUUUCCACAUAGCGCUUUCCUUGUUGCUUAAACUUGUCAAGUUUGUACUAUAAUUAUAGUGGUUAACAUGACAAUGAUAAGGGGAAAAAUAACUAGUACAAAUAUUUAGUGCUAAAUGCCGUCUUAUUCUGAAGCGUCUUAAUUGUGUUGUACGUGGCUCAAACCAAAAAGUAGCUGUCAAAAAUUGACUAGAGGGUAUAACUUUCAGCGAAUUUUAGACAAUUAUACUACAAGUAAUUAAAAUUAGUAUUACAAAUAUACAAUGAGUGGCUAUAGUAUGCAACCAGUAAUACAUGGAGGUGUUCACAUUCCGAACCUUGAUGAGCGUAGUCCAUAUUUUAUUGUCAGUUCUGCUAGUGGUAAGAAUGUGGUCGAUGAGCCCUGACGAGUACAAAUUGAUGACUACGUGUUGAUAAGCAUACCCGUGAUACGCUUAAGUAACACAACCAAAACGGGAAAGUAUAUUUUAUACUGAAUGUCUGACGUCACACCGACAAAUAAUCACACAUCAGGUUACUAAUAGACAUUCAAUGUCAAAGCUUUAAGAACCCGAACAAUGUAUUAGAAUGACACAUUGUGUUUGUAUUUAGUGGUGAUUUUGGAUAUCGGUGUGAUGUCAUCCACACGUUUGUUUUAUUUUAAGUUCCACUCUUCUAUAUUUAACUAUUUUAACUAGGUUAUUGGAAUAAAAAGUCAGAUAUAAAACAACAGUUUAUUAUAUAAAAUUGACAAAUCGUCAAAUGAAAACAUUUUUGCGUUAAUUCAUCUAGAAAUGAUAUGAAUAUUUUUGGUAUAAAAUAAAUCCUCGUAAAAAAACCUACUCAUCUAAAAUCAACAAAAUUUAUUGUCAACUUCAUUCAUGUAAAAAUAAGACGAUAACAAAAAUAAAAUCAAGACAAAUAACUUAGAAAAACUACAUCGACUCUCACAGGAUGCUCUCCUGCACACCUUAAUUAAAAUGAUUACUUUGGUAUGUGUAAGUAACUAAUAUCACAUUCAUAAACCUCUUCAGCAAAAAAAGCAUAACGUUAUAAUUCAAUUAAAUCGAUUUAUGAGUAUCUUUUGAUUGAUAAGCAAUGCGACCUAUUGAAUGAAAAAAGGGGGUGCUGAGAUGGUUGAUCUGCUAGAUAUAUAGUAGAAGUACUCUAAAUUGAGCUUGAAAACGAGAAUAUCAAAACUAUCUAAGCACGAAUCUAGAUGAGGUUGAACCAUCGAUAGAAAAAUCUUAAGGCCUCGGGGUGGAUAUACAGGUAUUUCGGAAACCUUCAAGACUUCGAGGGGCUAGAAAAUCGCGCUUAAAAAUGGGGACUGAGGGCUCAAAAGUACCCGAUUAGUGGUGUCACGUUGUGGUCGUACCACUAGCUGUCAAGUGGUCUUACGGUAUCUAGGGUUCUACAUUUCCAAAAUACACAGGGUGGUCAGCGGUGAGAUAUUUUCUAAAACAUUGAUAUAAAAACAGGACUGGCACAAACUUUUCUUAUAAAAAUAUUUCCAUAUGUACAGGUGUCCUUACUAUGACACAUCAAAAAAAGAAAUGACAUUUCAUUAGGAACACCCGUAUAUAUGAAAUAUUUUUAAAUGUUGAGGCCUUCAGUGUGGAAAAGAUUGGCUUUUUUGUUCGUAUUUUUAGCUCACCCUGUAUUGUAAUCUUUAAAUCACUAAGGUACCUUACUUAUUUCAAAAUGUAAACCCAUAAAUAAAUUUAUAAAUCUUGUUUUAAGAUUUUACAGAAAAUAUAUAUGAAUCAAAACGAUAAUUGGAUUUGUUCCUCUACUGAGUACUGUAGCUUAAGGUUUGAGUACCGGUUUUCGUCCGUGUCCAAACCUCUACUACUGAAGUAACCAAAUAGUAAUUAGUUCUUUGGCAACUAGUCAGAACUACCCAAUACGAUGAGUAUUGACUACGUCAUCUUUGACCUGGCAACCGCUACCAGUCAAAAUUGAUAUCAAUGUACCUUCCUAGACAAUAAAAAACCGAUAAACAUU
Molecule: long non-coding RNA, 3084 nt
Organism: Zophobas morio
Lineage: Eukaryota; Metazoa; Arthropoda; Insecta; Coleoptera; Tenebrionidae
Exons: 2
Source: RefSeq, a predicted model, not a curated record